Molecule: ribosomal RNA, 421 nt
Filed under: Fusobacteriota bacterium
Lineage: Bacteria; Fusobacteriati; Fusobacteriota
Description: Fusobacteria bacterium partial 16S ribosomal RNA
Rfam family: Bacterial small subunit ribosomal RNA
Source: RNAcentral
UGGGGAAUUUUGCACAAUGGGGGGAACCUUGAUGCAGCGACGCCGCGUGAGGGAUGGAGGCCUUCGGGUUGUGAACCUCUUUCGCUCGUGUGCAAGCCGCUAUUUGGGUAGUGGUGAGUGUAGCGGGUAAAGAAGCGCCGGCUAACUACGUGCCAGCAGCCGCGGUAAUACGUAGGGCGCGAGCGUUGUCCGGAUUUAUUGGGCGUAAAGGGCUUGUAGGCGGUUUGUCGCGCCUGUCGUGUAAUCCUCUGGCUUAACUGGGGGUGGGCGGUGGGUACGGGCAGGCUUGAGUCCGGUAGGGGAGAUUGGAAUUCCUGGUGUAGCGGUGGAAUGCGCAGAUAUCAGGAGGAACACCGGUGGCGAAGGCGGGUCUCUGGGCCGUUACUGACGCUGAGGAGCGAAAGCGUGGGGAGCGAACAGG